CAGCCGCCGCGGUAAUGCGUAGGUGGCAAGCGUUGUCCGGAAUUAUUGGGCGUAAAGGGCUCGCAGGCGGUUUCUUAAGUCUGAUGUGAAAGCCCCCGGCUCAACCGGGGAGGGUCAUUGGAAACUGGGAAACUUGAGUGCAGAAGAGGAGAGUGGAAUUCCGCGUGUAGCGGUGAAAUGCGUAGAGAUGUGGAGGAACACCAGUGGCGAAGGCGACUCUCUGGUCUGUAACUGACGCUGAGGAGCGAAAGCGUGAGGAGCGAACAGGAUUAGAUACCCCAGUAGUCCCUGUCUCUUAUAC
Molecule: ribosomal RNA, 301 nt
Filed under: uncultured bacterium
Lineage: Bacteria
Description: partial 16S ribosomal RNA
Rfam family: Bacterial small subunit ribosomal RNA
Source: RNAcentral